CGCGUAGGCGGUUGAUUAAGUCGGAUGUGAAAGCCCUGGGCUUAACCUGGGAACUGCAUUCGAUACUGGUCGACUAGAGUACGAGAGAGGGAGGUAGAAUUCCACAUGUAGCGGUGAAAUGCGUAGAUAUGUGGAGGAAUACCGGUGGCGAAGGCGGCCUCCUGGCUUGAUACUGACGCUGAGGUGCGAAAGCGUGGGGAGCAAACA
Molecule: ribosomal RNA, 207 nt
Filed under: uncultured bacterium
Lineage: Bacteria
Description: partial 16S ribosomal RNA
Rfam family: Bacterial small subunit ribosomal RNA
Source: RNAcentral